UUGAAGUUACACUUUCAGUGAAUGUGGAAGAAAUGCUGAGUCCCCCCGACCUGGUUUUGCCUCCACAGUGAGUGACUUGUUUGGAGAAAAAGUCCUUAAAUGAUUUUCUCUGAAACCAUUUCCAAAAAAAAAGGGCAUGUAAAGAAUUGGCUCCGUGUUCUUGCUGUCACUCAUGGAGACUGGCCAAUCACACUAAGGUUUCCUUAAGUCUUAAAUGAAUGAGAAUUCUACAAGCCCUUGCAAUAAAUAGUACUGACAGUAAGUAAGAAAAAGACAGAACAUCUAUCCCCCAAAUGGGCAAAAGACUUGACUGAACAGGUGCAUCACUGAAAAAAGGAAUCCAAAUGGCCAAUCAGUGCUCAGAUUGAGAGAAUGAGAGAACACCUCCAGGCCCACCAACCUGGCAAAUAUUAGUCUGUCAAUAACAGCAUUGGCCUGGGUGGGAUAGAGGCACCAGAACUUCAUGCAAUGCUGAUGUGAUUUGGCUCAUGCUUCAGUUUGUCUAUUUUUAAAGCAGAAGGUGCUUUUUGAAUAAUUUUGAAGCCAGGUCAUUGCUUUUAUUUCUAUUCAAUAAAUAUUAGUGUAUUCUUUCCACAAGUCAGAUAUGAUUAUCAUUCCUUCAUCAGUCACGAUGUGCCAGUUGAAUACAAAUACACAAGAAAACCCAACAUAGCUACAUAUC
This 682-nucleotide long non-coding RNA is filed under the name Marmota monax (woodchuck). The record is from RNAcentral. Lineage: Eukaryota; Metazoa; Chordata; Mammalia; Rodentia; Sciuridae.